This is a long non-coding RNA of Amphimedon queenslandica, 274 nucleotides long. RefSeq lists it as uncharacterized. Lineage: Eukaryota; Metazoa; Porifera; Demospongiae; Haplosclerida; Niphatidae. The transcript has 3 exons. The record is from RefSeq and is a predicted model, not a curated record.
ACUAAGCAUUAAUUAUAAGAAUAUUAUUAUUUUACAGGUUAAAUGACAAGCAUGAUGCUGUCCUACAUCAGUCCUCAGACCUGACAGACUUUAUUGACUCCUGAAAGUUCAGGACUUUGUCACAGUUCAAGUGUUUAGGAGAAGUAGCUGAACCAGGAGAACCUGUUGGACUACUAGCAGCACAAUCUAUUGGUGAACCUUCCACUCAGAUGAUAUUGAAUACAUUUCAUUUUGCCGGUAGAGGAGAAAUGAACAUCACACUAGGAAUGCCACG